RNAcentral lists this ribosomal RNA (468 nucleotides) under uncultured bacterium. Its description in RNAcentral is "partial 16S ribosomal RNA". It matches the Rfam family "Bacterial small subunit ribosomal RNA", at positions 28 to 507 of the family's 1533-position model. The record is from RNAcentral.
GACGAACGCUGGCGGCGUGCUUAACACAUGCAAGUCGAACGGAAAGGCCCUGCUUUUGUGGGGUGCGCGAGUGGCGAACGGGUGUGUAACACGUGAGUAACCUGCCCUUGACUUUGGUAUAACUUCAGGAAACUGUGGCUAAUACCGGAUAGGAGCUCCUGCUGCAUGGUGGGGGUUGGAUAGUUUGGGGUGUUGGGGGUGGACUCGCUGCCUACCAGCUUGUUGGUGGGGGGGUGGCCUAACCAGGCUUUGGUGGGUAGCCGGCCUGAGUGGGUGACCGGACACAUUGGGUGUGAGAUGCGGCACAGACUCCUACGGGGGACAGCAGUGGGGUAUAGUGCACUAUGGGCGGAAGCGUGACGGAGCCGCGCCGCGUGCGGGAUAGCGGCCUGCGGGGUGUAAUCCGCUUGCGCCUGUGACGAAGCGGGAGUGACGGUAAUGGGUAAAGAAGCACCGGCUAACUACGUG